RNAcentral lists this ribosomal RNA (440 nucleotides) under uncultured bacterium. RNAcentral's name for it is "partial 16S ribosomal RNA". It matches the Rfam family "Bacterial small subunit ribosomal RNA", at positions 338 to 795 of the family's 1533-position model. The record is from RNAcentral.
ACUACGGGAGGCAGCAGUGGGGAAUAUUGCACAAUGGGGGAAACCCUGAUGCAGCGACGCCGCGUGAGUGAAGAAGUAUUUCGGUAUGUAAAGCUCUAUCAGCAGGGAAGAAAAUGACGGUACCUGACUAAGAAGCCCCGGCUAACUACGUGCCAGCCGCCGCGGUAAUACGUAGGGGGCAAGCGUUAUCCGGAUUUACUGGGUGUAAAGGGAACGUAGACGGCCAGACAAGUCAGAAGUGAAAGCCCAGGGCUCAACCAGGGGACUGCGUUUGAAACUGCCGGGCUGGAGGGCAGGAGAGGUAAGCGGAAUUCCUAGUGUAGCGGUGAAAUGCGUAGAUAUUAGGAGGAACACCAGUGGCGAAGGCGGCUUACUGGACUGUAACUGACGUUGAGGCUCGAAAGCGUGGGGAGCAAACAGGAUUAGAUACCCCAGUAGUC